UACAGAGGUGGCAAGCGUUGUUCGGAAUUACUGGGCGUAAAGGGCGCGUAGGCGGCUUUUUAAGUCAGACGUGAAAUCCCCCGGCUUAACCUGGGAACUGCGUCUGAUACUGGGAAGCUUGAGUUCGGGAGAGGGAUGUAGAAUUCCAGGUGUAGCGGUGAAAUGCGUAGAUAUCUGGAGGAACACCGGUGGCGAAGGCGGCAUCCUGGACCGGCAUUGACGCUGAGGCGCGAAAGCCAGGGGAGCAAACGGG
Molecule: ribosomal RNA, 253 nt
Filed under: uncultured bacterium
Lineage: Bacteria
Description: partial 16S ribosomal RNA
Rfam family: Bacterial small subunit ribosomal RNA
Source: RNAcentral